AAGGUGCUUAUAAGUGGGAAAAUGUGAUUCCAAAGAGUCCACAAAGAUGCUUGUGUGAUGAGAAGACAAAGGCCAGGCAAAGUUGGCUUUGAGUGUUUUGGACUGGUUUUUGUAAAAAUGCAAAGGAUGAGAUUUUGGAGAAUGAGUGCCAAGGCCUUGUUGCUGUGUGAUGGCUGCAAAAUUUGGUAAUGAUGAUAAGUUGAUGAAUCAAGGCUGCUAUCAGAAGUUGUUUUUGGUUUUGAGUCUUGACAGCAAAUUUGAAAAUGCAAGAAGGUGAGAUUUUUU
RNAcentral lists this long non-coding RNA (285 nucleotides) under Lathyrus oleraceus (garden pea). Its description in RNAcentral is "Pisum sativum (pea) long non-coding RNA (PSAT_LNC027920)". Lineage: Eukaryota; Viridiplantae; Streptophyta; Magnoliopsida; Fabales; Fabaceae. The record is from RNAcentral.